This 251-nucleotide ribosomal RNA is filed under the name uncultured bacterium. RNAcentral describes it as "partial 16S ribosomal RNA". It matches the Rfam family "Bacterial small subunit ribosomal RNA", at positions 524 to 776 of the family's 1533-position model. The record is from RNAcentral.
UACGGAGGAUGCGAGCGUUAUCCGGAUUUAUUGGGUUUAAAGGGUGCGUAGGCGGCUUUUAAGUCAGCGGUAAAAAUUCGGGGCUCAACCCCGUCCGGCCGUUGAAACUGGGGGCCUUGAGUGGGCGAGAAGAAGGCGGAAUGCGUGGUGUAGCGGUGGAAUGCAUAGAUAUCACGCAGAACCCCGAUUGCGAAGGCAGCCUUCCGGCGCCCUACUGACGCUGAGGCACGAAAGUGCGGGGAUCGAACAGG